GAUGAACGCUGGCGGCGUGCCUAAUACAUGCAAGUCGAGCGAACAGAUGAGGAGCUUGCUCCUCUGACGUUAGCGGCGGACGGGUGAGUAACACGUGGAUAACCUACCUAUAAGACUGGGAUAACUACGGGAAACCGGAGCUAAUACCGGAUAAUAUAUUGAACCGCAUGGUUCAAUAGUGAAAGACGGUUUUGCUGUCACUUAUAGAUGGAUCCGCGCCGCAUUAGCUAGUUGGUAAGGUAACGGCUUACCAAGGCAACGAUGCGUAGCCGACCUGAGAGGGUGAUCGGCCACACUGGAACUGAGACACGGUCCAGACUCCUACGGGAGGCAGCAGUAGGGAAUCUUCCGCAAUGGGCGAAAGCCUGACGGAGCAACGCCGCGUGAGUGAUGAAGGUCUUCGGAUCGUAAAACGCUGUUAUUAGGGAAGAACAAAUGUGUAAGUAACUAUGCACGUCUUGACGGUACCUAAUCAGAAAGCCACGGCUAACUACGUG
Molecule: ribosomal RNA, 497 nt
Filed under: uncultured bacterium
Lineage: Bacteria
Description: partial 16S ribosomal RNA
Rfam family: Bacterial small subunit ribosomal RNA
Source: RNAcentral